This 720-nucleotide ribosomal RNA is filed under the name uncultured bacterium. RNAcentral's name for it is "bacterial SSU rRNA". It matches the Rfam family "Bacterial small subunit ribosomal RNA", at positions 387 to 1123 of the family's 1533-position model. The record is from RNAcentral.
AGCAGCAACGCCGCGUGAGGGAUGACGGCCUUCGGGUUGUAAACCUCUUUUCUCAGGGAAGAUAAUGACGGUACCUGAAGAAUAAGCCACGGCUAACUACGUGCCAGCAGCCGCGGUAAUACGUAGGUGGCAAGCGUUGUCCGGAUUUACUGGGCGUAAAGAGCGCGCAGGCGGCCAGGUCAGUCGAAUGUGAAAGCCCCCGGCUCAACUGGGGAAGGUCGUUCGAUACUGCCUGGCUCGAAGAUAGGAGAGGGAAGUGGAAUUUCAGGUGUAGUGGUGAAAUGCGUAGAUAUCUGAAGGAACACCAGUGGCGAAGGCGACUUUCUGGCCUAUUCUUGACGCUGAGGCGCGAAAGCUAGGGGAGCGAACGGGAUUAGAUACCCUGGUAGUCCACGCCGUAAACGAUGUCGACUAGCCGUUGGAGGACUUAGAUCUUUUAGUAGCGCAGCUAACGCGAUAAGUCGACCGCCUGGGGAGUACGGCCGCAAGGUUAAAACUCAAAUGAAUUGACGGGGGCCCGCACAAGCGGUGGAGCAUGUGGUUUAAUUCGAAGCAACGCGAAGAACCUUACCACCCCUUGACAUCCUGCGAACUUGUGAGAGAUCACUUGGUGCCUUCGGGAGCGCAGAGACAGGUGCUGCAUGGCUGUCGUCAGCUCGUGUUGUGAAAUGUUGGGUUAAGUCCCGUAACGAGCGCAACCCUCAUUUUUAGUUGCCUUAU